This 722-nucleotide long non-coding RNA is filed under the name Panax ginseng (ginseng). Its description in RNAcentral is "long non-coding RNA (PGIN_LNC018375)". Lineage: Eukaryota; Viridiplantae; Streptophyta; Magnoliopsida; Apiales; Araliaceae. The record is from RNAcentral.
GGUGCUCCACAUGAGCGAAAAGUAAAACUUAGUGUUUCUCCUUCUCUCUCUCUCCUUUUUCACCUCUCCCUCUCCUUAUCAACCCGAGAAAUCAAACCCAAUCUUCUUCCCACCCAAGCCCUAGUUGCAGAAACCAAGAGAAAAAGAAGGAAGAAGAAAAACAAAGCUGGCUUAAAAUUGUUCUGCCGUCGACCAAGCUGGUAUUACCCUUUACAUUUGAACUGAUACAACACAAUUUGAGAAAAUUUAAAGUCCCCAAUCCUUCUUGUUACUUCACUCAUUUUCUGAUUUGUGCGAUUUAUAGUAGUAUAACUGUUUCGCUUCACUUACUGCUCAAUUUUGAGUUACAAUGUAAUACAAAUGAGGAGUUUAUGAAUAUGGCAUCUAAAUUAUGUUUUGUGAUUUUUGGGUGGAUUUAUGUAUAAAUUGGAGAUGAGAUAGUGUGUAUAUUGUUUAUAUGGAUCGGGUUCAAUUUUGUACUCCUUCUGUCCUAAAAAACAUGUCUUCAAGUAUAAUUUUUUUGUUACACAAAUCAAAUAUAAAACAUGUAUAAAGACUAGUUUACCCAAAAAAUAUACUUAAAUGAGGUCUACUACCUUUAGAGAAGACAGAGGUCCACUAUAAGUAAAAGUGGUACUUAUUUUAAUAUCUUUCAUCUACUUUAGUGUUCUUAAUUUAUGUGAAAUAUGUAUUUUGGACAUCCUUUUGAUGUCGGAGGGGAG